This is a long non-coding RNA of Rhineura floridana, 1077 nucleotides long. RefSeq lists it as uncharacterized. The record is from RefSeq and is a predicted model, not a curated record. Lineage: Eukaryota; Metazoa; Chordata; Lepidosauria; Squamata; Rhineuridae. The transcript is spliced from 3 exons.
CGUGCACGUGUUAGUAAUAAAUAUGCUCUUCCUCCAUCUUGUUUCGUUGUUUCUGAACUCUAUUGGGGAGGUUGGGAAAGAGCGCUCCGGGCCGCAUUGAGCCCGCCUGAGCCUGUGAGAGCGAUCCGAGGCGCUGAGGUGGCGCCACAAUGACUCCCUUUUAAAAUCGAAACAAGGUUGGAGUGGAGCGGGGGAUUGAACGUUCCAACGUCUCUGGUCAACAGUGGCACAAUCGUGAGUUUCAGAGGUUACCCCCGGAUGUGGAGAUCCAUCAAUACCAACCUGGUGAUUGGGUACGAGUUCGGAAGUGGAAGCAAGAGCCCUUGCAGCCCACGUGGGGACCGCCGGAGCAGAUCAUCUUAAUUACCGAAUCGGCAGUAAAGCUCGUAGGCCACAAGCGAUGGAUCCAUGCUAGCCGUAUAAAAAGAGCCAAGCCUGUAACUAUCCAGGAACCUGAGCAGGGAGUAGCCAAGGACUCCCCACCUGGAGGGGUGAAGGAUCAGACACCUGAAGAAAAGUGGCUAUCGCAAACUGUUCUGGGUUUGUGCCUGAAAUUGAAACUCACCAAAGAAACAAAGACUGAUAGUUAAUGGGAGGCUCACCACAAGUAGUCACGUUAAGAGCUACUCCUGUGGCCCUUGACCCCAUUCGACCAAGUAUUUUUGUUACAGUAACAUACCACCAGACGGGGUUAAAAAGGCAGGUUAAAGAGAAAAUAGUAAUAAGGACUAAUCUCUACUUCCGAGCUCCCACUUAUAUGAGAGAUUGGCCUACUGUGGAACUAAGAAGAAGUGGAUGGGUGGAACGCUGGUGCCCAGUGAAUAGUGUAAAAUAAUAUAUGGGAGGAUCGGUACCUCCCUGUCCCCUGCAGACAAUAAUUGCUCCGGUCCCUGGGGAUAUUGGACCAACAAUCUCAGUAGUGGUGGUUCAGCUUCGACCCCACAGGGGAAGUUAUCGGGGGAGGGGAAAUACCGUCUUACACCCGGUGGUCCGAUGUCAACUGGUCUACCGGAGGCUACAUUCUAAUUAGAACCCAGUGGAUGGGAGACUCUCCUAUCCCUCAAAAUUUAUGACAAA